Long non-coding RNA from Phacochoerus africanus (Common warthog), 349 nucleotides. RefSeq lists it as uncharacterized. NCBI's taxonomy places the organism in Eukaryota, Metazoa, Chordata, Mammalia, Artiodactyla, Suidae. The transcript is spliced from 3 exons. The record is from RefSeq and is a predicted model, not a curated record.
UCAGGGCACCUGGGAGACGUAUGAAAACACAGACUCUCCAGCUCUAGCCCAAAACAACUGAAGCAGAAUCUCUGGAGUUCGGCCCUAGAACCAGAAGACUUUAAGAGCUCUGCAGGUGAUGGAGAUCCUUAUCUGGGCUUAGGAUAAUUGCUUCCAGGAUCACUGCUUGCAUUCAGCUGUUUCCCAGCACCCCGGGACCCUGAGGUCUAUGGGUGGUUGCAGAGUGAUUGUUUAUGGUGGCCUGAACCAGGGCCUAGAGGCAGUGCACAUCCUGAGAUCCUGUGAGGAGCUUAUUUACAGUGUUCUGUCAAUCUUCUGUUGGUGGGAGUCUAAAUUGGUACAACCACUA